Molecule: ribosomal RNA, 695 nt
Filed under: uncultured bacterium
Lineage: Bacteria
Description: bacterial SSU rRNA
Rfam family: Bacterial small subunit ribosomal RNA
Source: RNAcentral
AACGCUAGCUACAGGCUUAACACAUGCAAGUCGCGGGGCAGCAUGUAUCUGGCUUGCCAGAUACGAUGGCGACCGGCGCACGGGUGAGUAACGCGUAUCCAACCUGCCCAUAACCACGGCACAGCCCGUCGAAAGGCGGAUUAAUGCCGUAUGAGGUUCCAGCGUAGCAUUAUUAUGGAACGAAAGGAUUUGGCGGUUAUGGAUGGGGAUGCGUCCGAUUAGCUUGUUGGCGGGGUAACGGCCCACCAAGGCGACGAUCGGUAGGGGUUCUGAGAGGAAGGUCCCCCACACUGGAACUGAGACACGGUCCAGACUCCUACGGGAGGCAGCAGUGAGGAAUAUUGGUCAAUGGGCGGAAGCCUGAACCAGCCAAGUAGCGUGCAGGACGACGGCCCUAUGGGUUGUAAACUGCUUUUUCGCGGGGAUAAAGAGGGGGACUUGUCCCCCGUUGCAGGUACCGCGUGAAUAAGGACCGGCUAAUUCCGUGCCAGCAGCCGCGGUAAUACGGAAGGUCCGGGCGUUAUCCGGAUUUAUUGGGUUUAAAGGGAGCGCAGGCCGUAUGGUAAGCGUGUUGUGAAAUGCCGUGGCUCAACCAUGGCACUGCAGCGCGAACUGCCGUACUUGAGUACGCUGGAGGUAGGCGGAAUUCGUGGUGUAGCGGUGAAAUGCUUAGAUAUCACGAAGAACUCCGAUUG